CAAAGCAUCUUCGCGAUGCAAGGGGGUUUCACUCUUCAUUGACUUCGUGAUUGUUGGCGCAAGUUGUUGGUCAUGCGAUUUGGGGGUUAGGGAUUUGAAUGGGGUUUUCUUUCUAUGUCUUGCGAUUUUGGGUGCGGUCGUGGAGGAAAAGAAAUUUCAGGUAUGGGGAGCUGUUUUCGUUACUUUAAUUUUUCUUUUAUUACAAGUGUGAGAUGAAUGUGAUUCUGAUUGUAGUUGAUGGCAUGGGUAAUGUUUGUGUGAGUGAGUGCUCUGACGAAAAAAGAUGUUGUGUUGAACACGAACCAUUAAAAGAUUGAAAAUAAAAUUAUAUUUGUUAGUAUGAAAUUACUUUUUCAAAGGAAGAAACUUAUAGAUAGUGUUACACAAGAACUAUAAACCUAAUGAGGCUAAAGUAUUGGUGACUAAAUUUUCUUAGUUGAGACAUGAAAACUAUUAACUUUUAGAUUACGUGAUUGAUUCCGAAAUAUAGUGCGACAUCAGGAACUACUUAUAUUUCUUUCUCUGUACAUUGGCAUUUUAUCUAAAAAUUAUAUAUUUUAAAACAUUUGUACCUUAUUUGUAGAUGAAAUGGAAGAUGAUGAAAAAGAGCUAGAACACUCGUCUAUUCAGGAAAAUUUAGAUAAAGAGCUCAAAGAAUUGGAUAGAAAACUUGAGCAAAAGGAGGUAUGUAGGUUAAUUUUCAUUACAUUAUUUUAUCUUAAAAGGUUUCCGUUAACUAACUCUUUCAUUUGAAGUUAAUAGAAAUGUCCAAUGUCUUUCAUUAAUGUCUUUUAUCUUAGAAGGUUUCCGUUAACUAACUCUUUCAUUUGAAGUUAA
Molecule: long non-coding RNA, 837 nt
Filed under: Vigna radiata
Lineage: Eukaryota; Viridiplantae; Streptophyta; Magnoliopsida; Fabales; Fabaceae
Description: long non-coding RNA (VRAD_LNC004723)
Source: RNAcentral